Molecule: ribosomal RNA, 688 nt
Filed under: Escherichia coli
Lineage: Bacteria; Pseudomonadati; Pseudomonadota; Gammaproteobacteria; Enterobacterales; Enterobacteriaceae
Description: bacterial LSU rRNA
Rfam family: Bacterial large subunit ribosomal RNA
Source: RNAcentral
CCCAGAGCCUGAAUCAGUGUGUGUGUUAGUGGAAGCGUCUGGAAAGGCGUGCGAUACAGGGUGACAGCCCCGUACACAAAAAUGCACAUGCUGUGAGCUCGAUGAGUAGGGCGGGACACGUGGUAUCCUGUCUGAAUAUGGGGGGACCAUCCUCCAAGGCUAAAUACUCCUGACUGACCGAUAGUGAACCAGUACCGUGAGGGAAAGGCGAAAAGAACCCCGGCGAGGGGAGUGAAAAAGAACCUGAAACCGUGUACGUACAAGCAGUGGGAGCACGCUUAGGCGUGUGACUGCGUACCUUUUGUAUAAUGGGUCAGCGACUUAUAUUCUGUAGCAAGGUUAACCGAAUAGGGGAGCCGAAGGGAAACCGAGUCUUAACUGGGCGUUAAGUUGCAGGGUAUAGACCCGAAACCCGGUGAUCUAGCCAUGGGCAGGUUGAAGGUUGGGUAACACUAACUGGAGGACCGAACCGACUAAUGUUGAAAAAUUAGCGGAUGACUUGUGGCUGGGGGUGAAAGGCCAAUCAAACCGGGAGAUAGCUGGUUCUCCCCGAAAGCUAUUUAGGUAGCGCCUCGUGAAUUCAUCUCCGGGGGUAGAGCACUGUUUCGGCAAGGGGGUCAUCCCGACUUACCAACCCGAUGCAAACUGCGAAUACCGGAGAAUGUUAUCACGGGAGACACACGGCGGG